RNAcentral lists this unclassified non-coding RNA (453 nucleotides) under Hevea brasiliensis (rubber tree). The record is from RNAcentral. Lineage: Eukaryota; Viridiplantae; Streptophyta; Magnoliopsida; Malpighiales; Euphorbiaceae.
GGCAAAUUUGUGUUAAAUUGCCCCAGUUUUUUAAAUUAAAGGGGCAAAUUGGUUCAAACUCAAGGUCAGAGGACAAAUUGACGUUUCAUGAAAAGUUCAGCAGCUGGGUUUUGCUUUUGGCCCCAAUAAGACACAUAAAUUUUGGUUUUCAAUGAGAUGUAAAUUUGUAUGUCAUGUUAGAUUUGCAAUGAGAUUCUUACUGGAAUCUUGCCGAGAUCAGGUGGAACUACCAUAAUUGCAAUAAAACAGUGACAAAAUUGCGACCUUGAAGUUUUGUGAUCAAUAAAAAUUAGUGCAAAGUACAAUGACCAUUAGAAUAAUUUACCGACCAUUACUCUUAUCAUUAUUUUCAUCUUUGCAGUUCUACUCUUGGUUACUUCUGUUUUUGUUCUCCUUUUACUUCAACCUGAAAAUUUCAAAUUUCUCAACAGAUUAUUUACAAAUCGGCCAUGG